UCUAGCUCUAAAUUAAUGACUUUUUUCCUACAUGUCUAUAUCCCUUCUUCUUGGAGUUAAGGUAUUGUGUAGAGAAGGGUUGUGGUUAAUUGAAAUAUACUGAAAAAAAGUCAUCAACACAAAAAAGGUUUUCAUUUCCCAGGCAACAAUCAAGAUUCUAAGAACUUCACAAAGGAUGGAUAAAUAAACGGAGGAGUGGAGGAUGAGAAGAUAAAGAGAGUAAGUUUCCCAGGUUGUAGAUAUUGAGCAAAAACUUAAGAUCCCUGAGCAUUUGCCAAAAGAAGAUAGAAUAUUUGUUUCAGAGAUGGAAGAAUAUUAAGAUGGAAAUUAGGAAGUAGGAAAACAUUGGAGACACAUCUCCUCAAUUCUCCAUAAUUGCUGGGAUAGGAGUGUAUUGCUCCAAUCUUGUUGCUGUAUUUAUAGCUCUAUAAAGUGAAUCAUAAGCCAAGGGUUUUGAUGAACUGAUCCUUUAAGGCAUGGAAUUCAGAUGCUAACUUCUGUCAGAUAUGUAGCACUCUAUGGAUUUUACUCCCUCAUUUCACUCCUAAGCUGGGGAAAUAACUACAAUCCCAGCAGGGUAUAUAUGGGAAUGGAGUAACUGUUAUUUUCUCUCCCUGUGUUCUGCCUUCAUGCAAAAGUUGUUCUUAGAAGAUGGAGGUAUUCCUCACAAUACCGCCAUCCCGUAGCCCAUUGCACCCAACUUCUCAUCUGAGAUACCUGGCCAUAGUGAAUGCACGGAAAUGCCCUACAGACAUCUUCAAGUCUCCUAUGCUAUUAAGCAAAAGGAUAUUGAAAUGAAUCCUGCAUCCUGAGUGGAAAGUCAAAUGUUCUUCUUGAAAUCAGUCUUUGCAAGAUGAUGAUGAAAGAAAGAUAAACCUGUCACUACUAAACUCUGUUUCUAUUUCAUUCUGAAAAUAAAAUAUUACCAUCACCUCCUAAGAAGAAAACU
This 949-nucleotide long non-coding RNA is filed under the name Monodelphis domestica (gray short-tailed opossum). RNAcentral describes it as "lncRNA (ENSMODG00000044177.1)". Lineage: Eukaryota; Metazoa; Chordata; Mammalia; Didelphimorphia; Didelphidae. The record is from RNAcentral.